GGGGGCGUAACGGCUUCGACGUGUUUGGUGAAGACGACGUUGCGUGCCGAGGUCCGGGGACCUCGAUAAUCCACCCGGAAACUUUAUAACUGCCAACGAUAACCUGGCAAUGGCUGCGUAAGGUUCGACCUUGCAGGCCCGUCUCCUGACGUUGCGAGCCCGUAGCGACUCCUGAGGCGACGAUGAAUCGGGCUGGUCAUCCGGCGGUGCUGUCCCGUCGGGGAUGAGAAACUCAGGCAGAUAGCCUGGUCCGGCCGUGCCCUGGCCGUGUCCAUCGGCGAAAUCAACAGGGCUCUACGCACGUAGAGACGUAGUUGGAACCCCUCGCGGACGCGGGUUCGACUCCCGCCGCCUCCAUGG
RNAcentral lists this transfer-messenger RNA (360 nucleotides) under Longimicrobiales. Its description in RNAcentral is "T3Sed10-66 sp003564555 Standard tmRNA". It matches the Rfam family "transfer-messenger RNA". From Rfam's summary of the family: Bacterial tmRNA, also known as 10Sa RNA or SsrA, is named for its dual tRNA and mRNA-like properties. Its role is to liberate the mRNA from a stalled ribosome. To accomplish this part of the tmRNA is used as a reading frame that ends in a translation stop signal. Lineage: Bacteria; Pseudomonadati; Gemmatimonadota; Longimicrobiia. The record is from RNAcentral. RNAcentral also lists the same sequence under 1 other name.